AGGAGGAGGAGGAGGAGGAGGAAUGGGAGAAGGAGGAGGAAAAGGAGAAGGAAGAGACAGAGGAAGAGGAAGAAGAGGAGGAGGAGGAGGAAGAAUGGGAGAAGGAGGAGGAAUAGGAGAAGGAAGAGACAGAGGAAGAGGAAGAAGAGGAGGAGGAGGAGAUGGAGGAGGAGGAAGAGGAGGAGAAGGAAGAGACAGAGGAAGAGGAAGAAGAGGAGGAAGAGGAGGAUGAGAUGGAGGAGGAGGAAGAGGAGGAGAAGGAAGAGACAGAAGAAGAGGAAGAGGAAGAAGAAGAAGAAGAAGAGGAGGAGGAGAUGGAGGAGGAGGAAGAGGAGGAGAAGGAAGAGACAGAAGAAGAGGAAGAGGAAGAAGAGGAAGAAGAGGAGGAGGAGAUGGAGGAGGAGGAAGAGGAGAAGGGGGAGAAGGUAAAGGAGGAGGAGGAGAAGAGGGAAGAGACACAGGAAGAGGAUGAGGAAGAAGAGGAGGAGGAGGAAGAGGAGGAGGAGGAGAAAGAGGAGGAGGAGGAGGAGAAAGAAGAAGACGAGGAGGAAGCGGAGGAAGGAGUAAGUAAAAGAAAAAGAAAAAAAAGGGAGAAUAAAAAAAAAGUAAAGAAAACGGAAAAGAGGGAUGAAAACAAGGAAGAAAAACAAGAAAACGAAAAAGAAGAAAAAGAGGAGGGAAGGAGGAAAAGAAGGAGGAGGAGGAGGAAGAAGAAGAAGUAGAAGAAACAAACCACUACACCAAUCAAGCCAAACACAGAACAAACAAACAAUCACACAGAACAAAAACAAAGAGGUCAUUCCCAAACCAAACACUCCAAUCUGUAUUCUGUUCCUUUUAUUGCACCUUUGUUAAGUUCGCCUCUUCUGACGGAGGUGUACAUGAUGGCCCGGUUAGUGCCUGCAGGUGGUUCAGUGCCCCCUACACGCCAGGAGCCUCGUGGGGGUGUUUACUUCACACUCCCCACACGAGCCUGGCUUUACUGGUCCCCUUUUGGUCUGGGUUCGGUUCCCUGCAACGUUUUGGCAGGGAAAGGGUUGGAAGUACAGGUAAUUCUGACAGUGGUACAGGUAAGGUUACACGUGGUUUUAACAGUGACUGAGUUUAAGGGUUUUGAGUACACGUAUUUUGACAGGGGUGGAGGUUUGAAAAGGUGGAUUGUCACGUGGUUUUAACAGUGACUGAGUUUAAGGGUUUUGAGUACACAUAUUUUGACAGGGGUGGAGGUUUGAAAAGGUGGAUUGUCACGUGGUUUUAACAGUGACCGAGUUUAAGGGUUUUGAGUACACGUAUUUUGACAGGGGUAAAAGUUAGAAAAGGUUGAUUGUCACGUAGUUUUACAGUGACGAGGUUUGAGGUUUGGAGUUCACGUGUUUUGAUGGGGAUGAUGGUACACAGUUUGACGUUGCUGUACACUGACAAAAAGUUUAGUUACACAUAUUUCAACAACAGUGCGAGAUACAAAGUUUCACGCUAAUAACAACUGGAAAAUGUUUACAGUGUUCAUGAUUGUGGGAUGUUGCAAAGUUCAUACUGAUUAUGCAUUGUUCACCUGUUCUGGACAGUGAAAAGUUUUAGGUCUCUACAACUUUACACUUAAAAUCUACAAUACGCUUUUGGUGGUUUAACAGAGAACCAAAAAAAGUCUACCUUCGUGUGAUCUGACAAAAAAUAUUACAGGUUUCACAGGCAGACUACACAACAGAUAAAAAGAAAUAACAAAACAAAAAUAACAGGUAAGGAAUAAUAAUGAUGCAUAGUAAAGUUGAGGUGAUUUUCAGGUAAGAAACGCCACCUGUCGGCUGCAGUGAUCAACAUUAGGCAAUAUUGGUCAACAUUUGGGGAGGACUCACUUUCCCGAGACGAGGAGUGAGUGCAGAGGUGGACUGCCGAGCUCUCAUGUAUCGUAGGCCAAGACUUAUACCGAUAAAUAAUAUAGAAUAACCAUGGACACAAGCUCUUACUCUUACUACCCGACAAUAAUUGCACUGAGAAUGUGAUUGUGACGGCCGGGCUGGGCUGGCGCGAGGACAGGUGAGGCGGGGCAGGUGUGGGUAGGUGAUAUACUAACAACACCUUUAGCACCAAACAACCCCCAGCAGUGAUUAACCACGUGCGUGAGAACAGGAAAACUACCUCAUAAAUGAAGUAAUGAUAGAAACAAUAGCUUUUUAACACCAAUCCGUCCAUAGGUGAAGAAUUAGAGAAGUGGAUGCAUGAAAUUUCGAAACGUAGUCAGUCACUUGAAAGGAGAAAUAAGCCGCCAGUCCUGCCUUUCAUCACGGGUGCUUCAGGCCUUGCUCGCGACUCCCAGCACCCUCAGCUUCCUUCGCCUCCCAGCCCGCCAGAAUCACCGCCGAAGAGUUAGCAACACAGCCCCGAGGGCCUACAAGCCUCAUGCCCGGGACGGAGGGACGGAGCGGCGGGGACUGAUCGUGGAGGAGGCGGCGUCGUGCAGGGUGGAGACACUACCCCCACCCACGGACACACCCUCUUCACCACACCCUCACACACACCCUCCCUCUUCCCGCUUCGACACGCCACUAACUCGCUGCCUCAAGAUUAAGAAUAUUUGUACUGGACUAUCACAAGCACAUACAUACGAACGCUAGGCGGCGAGUAUAGAAGGAUAUAUACAGGACCCUAUAAUGACUAUACGGCGUGGCGGCAGCGUCUUACAUCACCGCUGCGCCACGCAAAGAUCCACUAUGAGAACCGACCGAGCAAACGAUGCACCGCCCUGGGAAAUGCGACUUGACUGUUUGUCGGGGAAUUUGUAGCCCGAAGGAAGAGGUGGACGGGAAGAGCAGGAAGAGAAAGAAGUUAUAUAAAGAUUUGCGGAACGAGGUGAAAUAAUGAGGGAUUGGGUUUUGUAAAGGUUGGGAAAAAUGUUAGAUUUAAAAAGGAAUAAGUUAGGAAAAGGUUUACAGAAAUAGGUGACGUUGAAGAGAAGAGAAAAGGAAGACAUAUUGAAGGGAUAUAGGCUACGAGUUUAAAAAAUAAGAUAGUUUGCAUUGUUCUGAAGUCUGUGUAAUUAACGAGACUUGAGGAUUGAGUUUACUUCAUAAGAGGUGACACUGAAUGUGUUGCAGAAAUAAAUAUCCGGCCUUUUGGAUGGGGUUGCAUUGAUUAAAAAAAGGUGAUAUAGUUUAAAAUAUGACUGAAAUCUUGCAGACUCAGCAUAUGUUAUGAAAAGUGUACUUCAAGACAUGACAGCCUUGAUGGAGGAUUAAGAGACGAAAGACACUCAUAUAACUGAGUCUAGUAAGGACUGACAGGUAAGUUAGAGUUUGCGAAUGUAUCGUGACGGUUGCAAGAGUUUGGUGACAAUUGCAAUAGUUUGAAGUUACUUUCCGAUUGUGUACCAGAAGUGUACGAGAGUCUGAUCAGGCGAACGAAAGUCUACUGACAAUUACAAUAGUCUAUCGUGCUUUUAUGGUGACAGAAUCGGUUUUAAGAUAGUCUGGUGAAAUUUUCGAUAGUGUAAUGAGACUUCCCGAUGUUGUACGAGUCUGAUGAGGUGUAUAAUAAUCUAGCGGAUAUGUACGAUACUCUAGUGACGUUUGGUGUGAUGCUCUUGGUGAUCAAAGGAGAUUCUGACUCUGACAAGGAGGACCAAUACCGGGAAGGGAGAUUAGCGUCCUCAUGUGUGGUGUUGAGGUGGACUGGGACUGGAAGGAGGAGGAGGAGGAGGAGGAGGAGAAGGAGAACGACGAGAAGGUUGGAAGACGAGAAUGAGGAGUAGGAGAAGAAGGAUGAGGAAGAGGAGGAAAAGGAAGAGAAAGGGGGA
This is a long non-coding RNA of Eriocheir sinensis (Chinese mitten crab), 3790 nucleotides long. RefSeq lists it as uncharacterized. NCBI's taxonomy places the organism in Eukaryota, Metazoa, Arthropoda, Malacostraca, Decapoda, Varunidae. The record is from RefSeq and is a predicted model, not a curated record. The transcript is spliced from 2 exons.